AGUGAACGCUGGCGGUAGGCCUAACACAUGCAAGUCGAACGGCAGCACAGUAAGAGCUUGCUCUUACGGGUGGCGAGUGGCGGACGGGUGAGGAAUACAUCGGAAUCUACUUUUUCGUGGGGGAUAACGUAGGGAAACUUACGCUAAUACCGCAUACGACCUACGGGUGAAAGCAGGGGAUCUUCGGACCUUGCGCGAUUGAAUGAGCCGAUGUCGGAUUAGCUAGUUGGCGGGGUAAAGGCCCACCAAGGCGACGAUCCGUAGCUGGUCCGAGAGGAUGAUAAGCCACACUGGAACUGAGACACGGUCCAGACUCCUACGGGAGGCAGCAGUGGGGAAUAUUGGACAAUGGGCGCAAGCCUGAUCCAGCCAUACCGCGUGGGUGAAGAAGGCCUUCGGGUUGUAAAGCCCUUUUGUUGGGAAAGAAAAGCAGCAGGUUAAUACCCCGCUGUUCUGACGGUACCCAAAGAAUAAGCACCGGCUAACUUCGUG
RNAcentral lists this ribosomal RNA (492 nucleotides) under uncultured bacterium. Its description in RNAcentral is "partial 16S ribosomal RNA". It matches the Rfam family "Bacterial small subunit ribosomal RNA", at positions 29 to 507 of the family's 1533-position model. The record is from RNAcentral.